Molecule: ribosomal RNA, 93 nt
Filed under: Deltaproteobacteria bacterium
Lineage: Bacteria; Pseudomonadati; Myxococcota; Myxococcia
Description: partial 16S ribosomal RNA
Rfam family: Bacterial small subunit ribosomal RNA
Source: RNAcentral
UAACUGGAGAGUUUGAUCCUGGCUCAGAACGAACGCUGGCGGCGUGCCUAACACAUGCAAGUCGAACGAGAAUCCGGGCUUCGGUCCGGUAGU